UGCCAGCUGCCGCGGUAAUACGGAGGAUCCAAGCGUUAUCCGGAAUUAUUGGGUUUAAAGGGUCCGUCGGUGGUUUAUUAAGUCAGAGGUGAACUACUGCAGCUUAACUGUAGAACUGCCUUUGAAACUGAUAGACUUGAGUUAUUGUGAAGUAGUUAGAAUGUGUAGUGUAGCGGUGAAAUGCAUAGAUAUUACACAGAAUACCGAUUGCGAAGGCAGAUUACUAACAAUAUACUGAACCUGAGGGACGACAGCGUGGGUAGCGAACCGGAUUAGAAC
This 279-nucleotide ribosomal RNA is filed under the name uncultured bacterium. Its description in RNAcentral is "partial 16S ribosomal RNA". It matches the Rfam family "Bacterial small subunit ribosomal RNA", at positions 506 to 784 of the family's 1533-position model. The record is from RNAcentral.